RNAcentral lists this ribosomal RNA (382 nucleotides) under Morphacris fasciata sulcata. RNAcentral describes it as "partial 28S ribosomal RNA". Lineage: Eukaryota; Metazoa; Arthropoda; Insecta; Orthoptera; Acrididae. The record is from RNAcentral.
AGUACGUGAACUGCUUAGAGGUUAAACACGAUGAACCUAAAUAUCCAGUAUGAGAAAGUUUAUAUUAUGAGUAUAUUAUUUUAUAAUGUAUUAAUAGUGUGCAUUUUUUUCAUAAAAAGGACAUUGUAAUCUGUUAAUACAAUUUAUAUAUUCUUUUAUAUAUUAUUUUUAUCAUAAAGAGUCAUGUAUAAGUUUACAUAUAAAUUAAUUAAUUUAUUAAUUAAUUGAUGUAAGAUCGAUGAAUUUCUAGAUAAAUAGUUAACAGUAUUAAAAUAUAUAAUGCUUACAUAAUUUUUUAUGUUUUAUAUAUAAUAUGUACAUGUACAUAUAUAUGUUUUUGCAUUUAUAUUAUAACAAUGCUAUAGAUUAGAUCUUCGAUUGC